CUGGAAGCGAGACGCAGGAGGCAUUCGCCCUUACAAGCCAGGACUUGACUCAGUCACCGAAAGGAUGGCAAACUCCGGCUGGAAAUAGAAGCCAAAGGAAUUUUGCCCCAGAGAAGGCAGCUGGAUGCAGUCCCACAUUUCCAGUCUCUUGAAGAUGCCAGAAGGGGUGCUUGAAGGUCCUGUGCUGGCUGGGAGAACUGCCUGGAGAAACAGCUGCUCUUGUCCUCUGCACCCUUGGGUGAUGCCACCACCCUUUAGCCCGGGCUCCUGAGGAAGGCAAGCUGAUAAGGAAGGAGAGAGAGACACAACAAGAUUUUGGGAGACAAGUCAGAGAUCCUGGAGCCUGGAAGUGGAGUUAGUCCCUGAACAGAGCCUUGCCAAGACUCUCAGCAUCCCUCAGACACAUCCAAACCCCUCCAGCUGCUGAGAGGGGCUCCUGCUCCUUGGGGAGACCCUGCAUGCAGGAACCAGCAAAGCUCCAGGACAAGCCACUUCUGCCAGUGCUGCAGAUUCAAACUGCCUUGUUUUGUUUCCCAGCAGCAUUUAACAGGCUGCUGAUGUUUGUUUAUGAAGUGAGAUGCACAUGAUUUAUUUGAUCUGCUGGAGAGCUGCAUUCCCACGCCAAGGACAGGCAGAGACGUUGCAUUCUCCCCUCUUUUGGGGACUGCUUAGAUCAAAUCCUCCCUUGCACAGGCAGAGCUGCACUCUCAGCU
Molecule: long non-coding RNA, 713 nt
Filed under: Cyanistes caeruleus (blue tit)
Lineage: Eukaryota; Metazoa; Chordata; Aves; Passeriformes; Paridae
Description: lncRNA (ENSCCEG00000006499.1)
Source: RNAcentral